GUAGGUGGCAAGCGUUGUCCGGAAUUAUUGGGCGUAAAGCGCGCGCAGGCGGUUCUUUAAGUCUGAUGUGAAAGCCCACGGCUCAGCCGUGGAGGGUCAUUGGAAACUGGAGAACUUGAGUACAGAAGAGGAAAGCGGAAUUCCACGUGUAGCGGUGAAAUGCGUAGAGAUGUGGAGGAACACCAGUGGCGAAGGCGGCUUUCUGGUCUGUAACUGACGCUGAGGCGCGAAAGCGUGGGGGGAGCAAACAGGAUUAGAUACCCUGGUAGUCCACGCCGUAAACGAUGAGUGCUAAGUGUUAGGGGGUUUCCGCCCCUUAGUGCUGCAGCUAACGCAUUAAGCACUCCGCCUGGGAGUACGGCCGCAAGGCUG
This 372-nucleotide ribosomal RNA is filed under the name uncultured organism. RNAcentral describes it as "partial 16S ribosomal RNA". It matches the Rfam family "Bacterial small subunit ribosomal RNA", at positions 527 to 896 of the family's 1533-position model. The record is from RNAcentral.